This 74-nucleotide transfer RNA is filed under the name Limosilactobacillus oris. Its description in RNAcentral is "tRNA-Thr(tgt)". It matches the Rfam family "tRNA". Rfam says of the family: Transfer RNA (tRNA) molecules are approximately 80 nucleotides in length. Their secondary structure includes four short double-helical elements and three loops (D, anti-codon, and T loops). Further hydrogen bonds mediate the characteristic L-shaped molecular structure. tRNAs have two regions of fundamental functional importance: the anti-codon, which is responsible for specific mRNA codon recognition, and the 3' end, to which the tRNAs corresponding amino acid is attached (by aminoacyl-tRNA synthetases). tRNAs cope with the degeneracy of the genetic code in two manners: having more than one tRNA (with a specific anti-codon) for a particular amino acid; and 'wobble' base-pairing, i.e. permitting non-standard base-pairing at the 3rd anti-codon position. The record is from RNAcentral. Lineage: Bacteria; Bacillati; Bacillota; Bacilli; Lactobacillales; Lactobacillaceae.
GCCGACUUAGCUUAGCUGGUAGAGCAUCUGUCUUGUAAACAGAAGGUCGGAGGUUCGACUCCUCUAGUCGGCAC